RNAcentral lists this ribosomal RNA (588 nucleotides) under Oxypoda alternans. RNAcentral describes it as "partial 16S ribosomal RNA". It matches the Rfam family "Bacterial large subunit ribosomal RNA", at positions 1923 to 2754 of the family's 2925-position model. The record is from RNAcentral. Lineage: Eukaryota; Metazoa; Arthropoda; Insecta; Coleoptera; Staphylinidae.
UUAAAUGGCCGCAGUAUUUUGACUGUGCAAAGGUAGCAUAAUCAUUAGUUUCUUAAUUAGAAGCUGGAAUGAAAGGUUGAACGAAAAAAUAACUGUCUCUUUAUAAAUUUAUUAGAAUUUUAUUUUUAAGUUAAAAAGCUUAAAUAUGUUUAAAAGACGAGAAGACCCUAUAGAGUUUUAUAUAAUUUUUUAUAAAAAAUUUAUUUAUAAUUAUAAGAAUUUUAUAAUUGAUUAUAUUUGAUUGGGGUGAUUGAAAAAUUUAAUAAACUUUUUUUUUAGUUAAACAUUUUUAUAUGAUUAAUUGAUCCAUUAUUUAUGAUUAAAAGAUUAAAUUACCUUAGGGAUAACAGCGUAAUUUCUUUUUAGAGUUCUAAUCGAUAAAGAAGUUUGCGACCUCGAUGUUGGAUUAAAAUAUAGUUUUGGUGUAGAAGCUAAAAUAUUAGGUCUGUUCGACCUUUAAAAUUUUACAUGAUCUGAGUUUAAACCGGUGUAAGCCAGGUUGGUUUCUAUCUUUAAAUAAUUAAAAUAUUUUAGUACGAAAGGACCAAAUAUUUAGAAAAUUUUUAUAAUAUUGAAUAAUAUUAAUUU